This 253-nucleotide ribosomal RNA is filed under the name uncultured bacterium. Its description in RNAcentral is "partial 16S ribosomal RNA". It matches the Rfam family "Bacterial small subunit ribosomal RNA", at positions 524 to 776 of the family's 1533-position model. The record is from RNAcentral.
UACGUAGGGUGCAAGCGUUGUCCGGAAUUAUUGGGCGUAAAGAGCUCGUAGGCGGUUUGUCGCGUCUGCUGUGAAAACUCGGGGCUUAGCCCCGGGCCUGCAGUGGGUACGGGCAGACUAGAGUGCGGUAGGGGAGACUGGAAUUCCUGGUGUAGCGGUGAAAUGCGCAGAUAUCAGGAGGAACACCGGUGGCGAAGGCAGCUCGCUGGGACGUAACUGACGCUGAGACGCGAAAGCGUGGGGAGCAAACAGG